Molecule: ribosomal RNA, 253 nt
Filed under: uncultured bacterium
Lineage: Bacteria
Description: partial 16S ribosomal RNA
Rfam family: Bacterial small subunit ribosomal RNA
Source: RNAcentral
UACGUAGGGCGCGAGCGUUGUCCGGAUUUAUUGGGCGUAAAGAGCUCGUAGGCGGCUUGUCGCGUCGGCUGUGAAAACCCGCGGCUCAACUGCGGGCCUGCAGCCGAUACGGGCAGGCUAGAGUUCGGUAGGGGAGACUGGAAUUCCUGGUGUAGCGGUGAAAUGCGCAGAUAUCAGGAGGAACACCAAUGGCGAAGGCAGCUCGCUGGAACGGUACUGACGCUGAGGCGCGAAAGCGUGGGGAGCGAACAGG